GCGGCGGAUGGGUGAGUAACACGUGGGCAACCUGCCUGUAAGAUUGGGAUAACUUGCGGAAACGUGAGCUAAUACCAAAUAAAGCUUCAUAUCACCUGAUGUGAAGAUGAAAGAUGGCUCCGGCUAUCACUUACAGAUGGGCCCGUGGCGCAUUAGCUAGUUGGUGGGAUAAAAGCUUACCAAGGCAACGAUGCGUAGCCGACCUGAGAGGGUGAUCGGCCACACUGGGACUGAGACACGGCCCAGACUCCUACGGGAGGCAGCAGUAGGGAAUCUUCCGCAAUGGACGCAAGUCUGACGGAGCAACGCCGCGUGAGUGAUGAAGGUUUUCGGAUCGUAAAACUCUGUUGUUAGGGAAGAACAAGUACCGUUCGAAUAGGUCGGUACCUUGACGGUACCUAACCAGAAAGCCCCGGCUAACUACGUGCCAGCAGCCGCGGUAAUACGUAGGGGGCAAGCGUUGUCCGGAAUUAUUGGGCGUAAAGCGCGCGCAGGCGGUCCUUUAAGUCUGAUGUGAAAGCCCACG
RNAcentral lists this ribosomal RNA (526 nucleotides) under uncultured bacterium. RNAcentral's name for it is "bacterial SSU rRNA". It matches the Rfam family "Bacterial small subunit ribosomal RNA", at positions 95 to 606 of the family's 1533-position model. The record is from RNAcentral.